CCUUUCUUCAACAAACUGCUCCCCUGAUCGACACCGUAAAAAAGACAAAAAGGGCCGUUUCUCGACUACUCAGCGGCUAAUUAAUUGACACUCGUGGAGCAAACGGUCCGAGAGGGCCCGCGGAGCUCUGAGAGGCAGUAGAAUCAGGACACUAGCGUUUUCUCCUUCUGCCUGGGCUGUGUAAUCACUCCCCUCAGCAGACUGGCAGCAGGGGCAGCCUCUGUGUUUGUAUCCCUGGAUACACAAAGGCCGUAAAGAACUUUCUCUUCCUCCCUGCCCACUGCCCUUCCCCCUCCCUGUGCUCCCUGUCUCCCGUCUCGCUGCUCUUCAUUCGGCAGGAUUGACAAACUCUCCGGCUGAGCUGAUUAAAGGGCUUUGGGGUCACAUAACUAGGCCAGCCAUCCCACUCGCACCUGUCUUUGCAGUGUAUACAAGUGUCUGCUGGGUGUGUCGGCUGUCAUUCUCGGAUCAAUGGCUUUAUUAAGCAGCAACGCAAGGGAAAAAAAAAAACUUUUAUCCUCUGCCGAAGGAAAAAAAAACAAGCUCCCAUCCGACACUUGUUUGUUUUCAAAACUCCAAACAUGGGGAUGCUCUGAUUAUGUUGCAAAAUAAACUAUAUUUACUUUUUUUUCCUACGACCACCAAUAGCAAGCAAAUAAUUUCCUUAAGCGUAAUUACAAUGCGGUAUUAAAAAGCUGAAUGUAUUUAUACAAGUUAAAUUAGAGUGUAAGAGGACUCACAAUUCACUUGCAAUGCUUUCAAAACACAGCUGUGAAAAUACAAAUAAGGCAUUAAAAGAAGAUGGAAAAGAAGGGACAAAAGGACACUUUGCUGUCAGGCCAAGCCUGAAGAGUACUAGAAAAAACGCAAUGGAGUCAAAGAUCUUCAGAAACUCUUAUCCAGCAUAUGAUGUGAAUUCUGGGCAAGCAUCUCACUGGAACAGCUUCGAUUCCUUACAAAUUCCUGCCAAAAUCCGAUAUUCCACAGCAGCUUGUACAAGUCCCCCAGCCUGAUGAAAGUAAACCUUUAAUUGAAGAGGCAUUAUUUAGUUUUGAUCUUGUCUACGGUCCAUUUAAAACACCACUCUUAGAAUAUUUGUUAGAAUUGCAAGUUAAAAAAAUUCAGAUUUCUUCUCAAUUGUGAUAUGCAGAGAGCGAUAUAAUAAAUAUUAUGAAUGGAAACCCACACCACGUAUUGUUUUUAUUCUUUGCCUACAAUCUGUAUUGAAUCUGUGCAGUAUUUUUUGUAUCGACAAUGAAUCCAUUGCAAACCAAUACCAUAUUCAUAAAAGGCCAUUAACACUCAAAAUCAGUUAAUGGGCUGUGUAGCAAAACUACUGAAGUUCUGGAACGUCUCAACAUCCAUCUUGUCUCCACUCAACAAUUGAUCGGCUAACAGAAAAAAAAUGUUUUGACAGAUUGUCAUCAUUUACUUAUUCAACUCAGGUCUGGCACAACAGACGCAUACCAUUGAUACACUUACUGGUUCUACUGAAGGUUUGGGGAGGACUGGAGAAUUAGGCUUUCCUUUUUUACCUGUCUCAACAUGUGCAAAACACAUUUGCAGAUCACCCCUACGGUUUUUCUUUACCUAGUUCUCAGCAGUAGUCCAAUGCACCCUUGUUUGCUCGAAGUAGAGGGAGCAGUCCCAAUCCAUGAUAAUCCACCACCAUCCUCGGCAACUGGGAUGAGGCUCUUCCAUUGGUACACAGGGUUUGGUUUUUGCCACAGAACAUAUUUCUCAUAGUGCAGAAAUACGUCUUCAGUGAGAGAGGCCUGCAGAUCCUAGAGUUUUAGUCUUCUUGGAUGAUUUUCUCAGUUGUUCUUGAAGAGCUCUUGGCCAAAUGAUCACUGAAAAUGAACCUUUGAAAAUGAUAUUUUUCCACUAACCUGUUAUGAUAACUCAUAUAGGACAAGAUGGCUCAGGGGGUGAUAUCUGUACCCAAUCAUCCAAUCCCUUCAUUCCAAUUAUCUCCUUGAUUGUGCACAAUAAAAUAGGGGUUAUUUUGUAAUGUAAUGUAUAAUUUCACAUAGUUUCUAGUUCAUAUACCAUUAGAUCUCAAAAACACUGAAUUGGUAAACUUUUUGUACAAGACAGAUUUGAUUAAACAAGGGUACCCUGGUAAGAGAUUGUAAUUUCCAUAAUCA
Molecule: long non-coding RNA, 2147 nt
Filed under: Lepisosteus oculatus (spotted gar)
Lineage: Eukaryota; Metazoa; Chordata; Actinopteri; Semionotiformes; Lepisosteidae
Description: lncRNA (ENSLOCG00000021203.1)
Source: RNAcentral